Molecule: ribosomal RNA, 497 nt
Filed under: uncultured bacterium
Lineage: Bacteria
Description: partial 16S ribosomal RNA
Rfam family: Bacterial small subunit ribosomal RNA
Source: RNAcentral
GAUGAACGCCGGCGGCGUGUCUAAUACAUGCAAGUCGAGCGAACGGACGAGAAUCUUGCUUUUCUGAUGUUAGCGGCUGACGGGUGAGUAACACGUGGAUAACCUACCUUUAAGACUGGGAUAACUUCGGGAAACCGGAGCUAAUACUGGAUAAUCUUUUGAACCGCAUGGUUCAAAAGUGAAAGACGGUCUUUCUGUCACUUAUAGAUGGAUCCGCGCUGCAUUAGCUAGUUGGUAAGGUAACGGCUUACCAAGGCAACGAUGCAUAGCCGACCUGAGAGGGUGAUCGGCCACACGGGAACUGAGACACGGUACAGACUCCUACGGGAGGCAGCAGUAGGGAAUCUUCCGCAAUGGGCGAAAGCCUGACGGAGCAAAGCCGCGUGAGUGAUGAGGGUCUUCGGAUCGUAAAACUCUGUUAUUAGGGAAGAGCAUAUGUGUAAGGAACUGUGCACAUCUUGACGGUACCUGAUCAGAAAGCCACGGCUAACUACGUG